This 513-nucleotide small RNA is filed under the name Pongo abelii (Sumatran orangutan). RNAcentral describes it as "retained intron". Lineage: Eukaryota; Metazoa; Chordata; Mammalia; Primates; Hominidae. The record is from RNAcentral.
UGGCUUUGAAGCGUAUGUUGAAUUUCAAUGUGCCUCAUAUUAAAAACAGCACGGGAGAACCAGUAUGGAAGGUACUCAUUUAUGACAGAUUUGGCCAAGAUAUAAUCUCUCCUCUGCUAUCUGUGAAGGAGCUAAGAGACAUGGGAAUCACUCUGCAUCUGUGAGUUUUUACAUAUUUCUAAUAGUGGCAUUCAUUUAAAGAACAUUUAUAGAGAAAAAUAGUGUUAGGUUACAGUAUUUAUGUAGUGUUGAACAUUUUUUCCCUAUAUCUUCUUUUAUUCAACCCGUUAUUUCUGGGAUUUAAAAAAAUCAUCAGUCUGAGGCUUUAUAAUUUCAGAAUUUAAAUUUUCUGCCAUGUGGCUUUUCCUUAGACUUGGUUUCCCUUCUAUGUAAAGGAAAAGAACUAGUAAUCUUAAGGUCUUUUCCAGCUCUAAAAGUGUUUUGUUCCUUUAAUUUAAAUACACAGAUUCUCCUUGACCUGCAAUGGGGUUACAUACUUAUAAACCCAUCAUA